GUGCGAAUGCUGACAUGAGUAACGACAAAGGGGGUGAAAAACCUCCUCGCCGGAAGACCAAGGGUUCCUGUCCAACGUUAAUCGGGGCAGGGUGAGUCGACCCCUAAGGUGAGGCCGAAAGGCGUAAUCGAUGGGAAACGGGUUAAUAUUCCCGUACUUCUGACUAUUGCGAUGGGGGGACGGAGAAGGCUAGGUGGGCCAGGCGACGGUUGUCCUGGUUCAAGUGCGUAGGCUUGAGAGUUAGGUAAAUCCGGCUCUCUCUAAGGCUGAGACACGACGUCGAGCUACUACGGUAGUGAAGUCAUUGAUGCCAUGCUUCCAGGAAAAGCCUCUAAGCUUCAGAUAGUCAGGAAUCGUACCCCAAACCGACACAGGUGGUCGGGUAGAGAAUACCAAGGCGCUUGAGAGAACUCGGGUGAAGGAACUAGGCAAAAUGGUACCGUAACUUCGGGAGAAGGUACGCUCUUGAUGGUGAAGUCCCUCGCGGAUGGAGCUGACGAGAGUCGCAGAUACCAGGUGGCUGCAACUGUUUAUUAAAAACACAGCACUGUGCAAAAUCGCAAGAUGACGUAUACGGUGUGACGCCUGCCCGGUGCCGGAAGGUUAAUUGAUGGGGUUAGCGCAAGCGAAGCUCUUGAUCGAAGCCCCGGUAAACGGCGGCCGUAACUAUAACGGUCCUAAGGUAGCGAAAUUCCUUGUCGGGUAAGUUCCGACCUGCACGAAUGGCGUAAUGAUGGCCACGCUGUCUCCACCCGAGACUCAGUGAAAUUGAAAUCGCUGUGAAGAUGCAGUGUACCCGCGGCUAGACGGAAAGACCCCGUGAACCUUUACUACAGCUUGGCACUGAACAUUGAACCUACAUGUGUAGGAUAGGUGGGAGGCUAUGAAGACGUGACGCCAGUUGCGUUGGAGCCGUCCUUGAAAUACCACCCUUGUAUGUUUGAUGUUCUAACUUAGACCCAUUAUCUGGGUUGAGGACAGUGCCUGGUGGGUAGUUUGACUGGGGCGGUCUCCUCCCAAAGAGUAACGGAGGAGCACGAAGGUGGGCUAAUCACGGUUGGACAUCGUGAGGUUAGUGCAAUGGCAUAAGCCCGCUUAACUGCGAGAAUGACGGUUCGAGCAGGUGCGAAAGCAGGUCAUAGUGAUCCGGUGGUUCUGUAUGGAAGGGCCAUCGCUCAACGGAUAAAAGGUACUCCGGGGAUAACAGGCUGAUACCGCCCAAGAGUUCAUAUCGACGGCGGUGUUUGGCACCUCGAUGUCGGCUCAUCACAUCCUGGGGCUGAAGUCGGUCCCAAGGGUAUGGCUGUUCGCCAUUUAAAGUGGUACGCGAGCUGGGUUUAGAACGUCGUGAGACAGUUCGGUCCCUAUCUGCCGUGGGCGUUGGAAGAUUGAAGGGGGCUGCUCCUAGUACGAGAGGACCGGAGUGGACGAACCUCUGGUGUUCGGGUUGUGUCGCCAGACGCAUUGCCCGGUAGCUAAGUUCGGAAUUGAUAAGCGCUGAAAGCAUCUAAGCGCGAAGCGAGCCCUGAGAUGAGUCUUCCCUGACAGUUUAACUGUCCUAAAGGGUUGUUCGAGACUAGAACGUUGAUAGGCAGGGUGUGUAAGCGUUGUGAGGCGUUGAGCUAACCUGUACUAAUUGCCCGUGAGGCUUAACCAUACAACACCCAAGG
RNAcentral lists this ribosomal RNA (1670 nucleotides) under Vibrio cholerae. RNAcentral describes it as "partial 23S ribosomal RNA". It matches the Rfam family "Bacterial large subunit ribosomal RNA", at positions 1288 to 2925 of the family's 2925-position model. Lineage: Bacteria; Pseudomonadati; Pseudomonadota; Gammaproteobacteria; Vibrionales; Vibrionaceae. The record is from RNAcentral.